CGCGGCCUAUCAGCUUGUUGGUGAGGUAACGGCCCACCAAGGCGACGACGGGUAGCCGGCCUGAGAGGGUGACCGGCCACACUGGGACUGAGACACGGCCCAGACUCCCACGGGAGGCAGCAGUGGGGAAUAUUGCACAAUGGGCGCAAGCCUGAUGCAGCAACGCCGCGUGAGGGACGACGGCCUUCGGGUUGUAAACCUCUUUUAGCAGGGAAGAAGCGAAAGUGACGGUACCUGCAGAAAAAGCACCGGCUAACUACGUGCCAGCAGCCGCGGUAAUACGUAGGGUGCAAGCGUUGUCCGGAAUUAUUGGGCGUAAAGAGCUCGUAGGCGGUUUGUCGCGUCUGCUGUGAAAAUCCGAGGCUCAACCUCGGACCUGCAGUGGGUACGGGCAAACUAGAGUGCGGUAGGGGAGAUUGGAAUUCCUGGUGUAGCGGUGGAAUGCGCAGAUAUCAGGAGGAACACCAAUGGCGAAGGCAGAUCUCUGGGCCGUAACUGACGCUGAGGAGCGAAAGCGUGGGGAGCGAACAGGAUUAGAUACCCUGGUAGUCCACGCCGUAAACGGUGGGAACUAGAUGUGGGGUCCGUUCCACGGAUUCCGUGUCGCAGCUAACGCAUUAAGUUCCCCGCCUGGGGAGUACGG
This 643-nucleotide ribosomal RNA is filed under the name uncultured Actinomycetes bacterium. Its description in RNAcentral is "bacterial SSU rRNA". It matches the Rfam family "Bacterial small subunit ribosomal RNA", at positions 232 to 885 of the family's 1533-position model. Lineage: Bacteria; Bacillati; Actinomycetota; Actinomycetes. The record is from RNAcentral.